CGAUUUCCACAUCCUGACACUCUGACAGAGAAGGUCGGUCGCAGCUAAGCCUCUUCCUUCUCUCUCUCUCUCUCGCGCGCGCGCAAAGCCCUCGUACCGUCGACGGUCCACCGUGUGCCGAAGACGACUUUUCCGGUUAGUCCUUGGUGACUGGUAGUUCUACCUCUGUUGCUGAAGUGUCUUCUAGAUUGAUGUCCAUGGACGUGAAUUGAUCAUCUGCUUAUAUCCAUGGACGUUGAAUUUACUAUGUGAAGAGACCUUAAAACUCAUUAGCAAUGGCGGGCGAAGGGACUUCAGGCAUGUUCCAAUUGCAGCAAACGGUUGGCACUGUUCUUUGUUGCAUGUGUGGUGUACCUAUAACUCCAAAUAAUGUGAAUAUGUGUGUAAAAUGCUUGCGUUCACAAGUUGACAUCACUGAAGGUUUGCAGAAGCAUGUGAUAAUCUACCAUUGCCCAGAGUGUAAUUCUUAUCUGCAGCCACCAAAAACAUGGAUCAAAGCCCAGUUAGAAUCUAAAGAGCUUCUCACAUUUUGCAUUAAGAGGCUCAAGAAUUUGAACAAGGUUCACCUAUCACAUGCGGAAUUUAUUUGGACUGAACCUCACUCUAAGAGGAUCAAAGUGAAACUGAGAGUGAAGAAGGAGGUGUUUCAUAACACAAUAUUGGAGCAAGAAUACGUUGUUGAAUAUGUUCAGCAAGAGCAUAUGUGUGAAUCUUGUUCAAGAGUUCAAGCCAACCCUGACCAAUGGGUAGCAUCUGUGCAACUCAGACAGCACGUUGCUCACAGGCGGACCUUUUAUUUUCUAGAGCAGGUUAUCCUUAAGCAUGAUGCAGCUGUUCGUGCAAUAAAAAUUAAGCAGAUGCAUGAGGGUAUCGACUUCUUCUUUGGCAACAGAAGCCAUGCAGUGAAAUUUGUGGAAUUUGUUGGAAGUGUAGUCCCAAUUAGGAGUCGGCAUGACAAGCAGCUGGUUUCACAUGAUCCCAAGAGCAAUAACUAUAACUAUAAGUACACAUUUUCUGUUGAAAUUAGUCCAAUUUGCAGAGAGGAUUUAAUCUGCCUUCCUCCAAAAGUUGCUAUAAGUUCGGGGAAUUUGGGACCACUUGUGCUGUGCGUGAAGGUCAGCAAUAGCCUAAUGCUACUUGAUCCAUUCACUUUGAGGCAUUCUUAUCUUGAUGCUAACCAGUACUGGAGGGCUCCUUUUAAACCUUUAUUGUCAAGUAGACAACUAGUUGAAUAUGUGAUUCUUGACAUAGAACCUGCAGUUGGUGGGAUGAGUCAUAAUGGCACCAAGUAUGCAUUGGCAGAUGCACAGGUUGCCCGUGUAUCAGAUUUUGGGAAAAAUGAUCAGAUUUUCAAUGUGAGGACACAUCUUGGUCAUCUUCUAGCUCCUGGGGAUAAUGCACUUGGUUAUGAUUUAUAUGGAGCAAACAAUAAUGAUCUUGAACUUGACAAGCACAAAGGAUUUAGCCUUCCUGAUGCUGUUCUAGUGAAGAAGAGCUAUGAAGAGAAGCGCCAAAAAAGGCGUGGAAAAGCUCGUUCUUGGAAGCUCAAAAAUUUGGAGAUGGAAGUUGACAAUCCUUCGAAGGGCAGGACAGAUAUUGAUAAGAGAAAUAUGGAGUAUGAAAAGUUUUUGGAGGACUUAGAAGAAGACCCAGAAAUGAGGUUUAAUGUAUCGCUAUAUAGAAACAAAGAUUACCAACCUUCUGAGGUGACAUCUAUGGCUGAUGGAGAAGACCUUCCUUCUGUACCUCUGGAGGAGAUGCUUGCUGAUCUCGCAUUGAGUGAUGAAGAAGAAGAUGUCAACGAUGAUAUUAUGGGGGAGUGAUGAGAUUGUCAAGCUUACAUCCUUGAUUUUAGAGGGGCUGCUCUGCUCUGCAGUUUUGUGGUGAUUCCCUGCUGAACUUGCGGCCAUGCGCUAUGUAAGAAACCACCAUAAGAAAGCUUCGGUAGUCAAAUGGCAGCGUGGAGACUUGAUCCAAGGUCUUCAAUUUGACACUUUUCACAUUUCUCUUUUAUUGCCUGUUCAAUAAAUGUGGUUACUAUGGAAGGGCGUUUGGAUUUCCUUUGCAAUGGGGAAGCCGGCAAGCGUUCCACGGUGGCCGGCUUUAGACUGUUUAUACUGCUGAUUAGCGUAAUUUGGUAUGGAUCUGCUUAAGCCCAGCUUGGCGAUGAAAAAAUAAAAUGAGAAUCAACUGUUGAAUGGUGAUGCUUUGACUAGAACGACCUUUCAGUGGGCAGGUGAUUGAAGAAAGAUUAUAAUAAACAAAGAUGUAAGCGUUGGAAUUCAAGUGUCAAACUAAGACAUAUGGGGGUGGCUGAAAAGGUGAACACGGUUGCAGGUGCGAGACGGGACAACUAAUUUUGUAUUUUCGUAGGUUCAUGCCUGCAUACGCUUGUCAAAGAAACUUGGUGCCCAUGGAAAUCAAACCAACAACCGGUCUCUUGCGUCUCUUGCCGCCGCUGAUCCAACCAUUUACUCCAAUUUUCUUGGGACUACUGGAUAAAUCUAGUUGCUUGUUAAAGAUCAGUAGCUUGAGUCUACUCUAUAAUUGAUCACUAGUAAGAUUAGCAAUUGCAGUCGGAUGGCCAAUUACAGUUCAAUAUCUUUUCAUGUGUGUUACUUCGGGUGAGUGAAGAAAUCAUACUGCCCGAGUAAAGGCCAACCCCUGGCGGUUCGUGUGUAUUACUUGUUAAACCAAAAUUACAUGUACUUCUAAAUGGGGUAUACCGUUUGAACCAUGC
Nymphaea colorata (pocket water lily) is the source of this 2740-nucleotide RNA transcript. RefSeq lists it as uncharacterized. The transcript is spliced from 5 exons. The record is from RefSeq and is a predicted model, not a curated record. NCBI's taxonomy places the organism in Eukaryota, Viridiplantae, Streptophyta, Magnoliopsida, Nymphaeales, Nymphaeaceae.